Molecule: ribosomal RNA, 497 nt
Filed under: uncultured bacterium
Lineage: Bacteria
Description: partial 16S ribosomal RNA
Rfam family: Bacterial small subunit ribosomal RNA
Source: RNAcentral
GAUGAACGCUGGCGGCGUGCCUAAUACAUGCAAGUAGAACGCUGAAGGAAGGAUCUUGCUCUUUCCGGGUGAGUUGCGAACGGGUGAGUAACGCGUAGGUAACCUGCCUGGUAGCGGGGGAUAACUAUUGGAAACGAUAGCUAAUACCGCAUAACAGUAGAUGUUGCAUGAUAUCUACUUAAAAGGUGCAAUUGCACCACUACCAGAUGGACCUGCGUUUUAUUAGCUAGUUGGUGAGGUAACGGCUCACCAAUGCGACGAUACAUAGCCGACCUGAGAGGGGGAUCGGCAACACUGGGAAUGAGACACGGCCCAGACUCCUACGGGAGGCAGCAGGAGGGAAACUUCGGAAAUGGACGGAAGGCUGAACGAGCAAAGCCGCGUGAGUGAAGAAGGUUUUCGGAUCGUAAAGCUCUGUUGUAAGAGAAGAAAGAGGGUGAGAGUGGAAAGUUCACACUGUGACGGUAUCUUACCAGAAAGGGACGGCUAACUACGUG